RNAcentral lists this ribosomal RNA (497 nucleotides) under uncultured bacterium. RNAcentral's name for it is "partial 16S ribosomal RNA". It matches the Rfam family "Bacterial small subunit ribosomal RNA", at positions 28 to 507 of the family's 1533-position model. The record is from RNAcentral.
GAUGAACGCUGGCGGCGUGCCUAAUACAUGCAAGUCGAGCGAACGGACGAGAAGCUUGCUUCUCUGAUGUUAGCGGCGGACGGGUGAGUAACACGUGGAUAACCUACCUAUAAGACUGGGAUAACUUCGGGAAACCGGAGCUAAUACCGGAUGAUAUUUUGAACCGCAUGGUUCAAUAGUGAAAGACGGUCUUGCUGUCACUUAUAGAUGGAUCCGCGCUGCAUUAGCUAGUUGGUAAGGUAACGGCUUACCAAGGCAACGAUGCAUAGCCGACCUGAGAGGGUGAUCGGCCACACUGGAACUGAGACACGGUUCAGACUCCUACGGGAGGCAGCAGUAGGGAAUCUUCCGCAAUGGGCGAAAGCCUGACGGAGCAACGCCGCGUGAGUGAUGAAGGUCUUCGGAUCGUAAAACUCUGUUAUUAGGGAAGAACAUAUGUGUAAGUAACUAUGCACAUCUUGACGGUACCUAAUCAGAAAGCCACGGCUAACUACGUG